GACGAACGCUGGCGGCGUGCCUAACACAUGCAAGUCGAACGGAAAGGCCCUGCUUGCAGGGUGCUCGAGUUGCGAACGGGUGGGUAACACGCGGGUGAUCUGCCUCUCUCUUUGAGAUAGGUCUUUUAAACUGGGUCUAAUACUGGAUAGGACAUUUCUUGACGUGGUGUGGUCGAAAGUUUAGUUUCGGUAUGGGAUGAGCUCGCGGCCUAUCAGCUGGUUGUUGGGGUAUUGGCCUAACAAGGCGUCGCAGGGUAGCCGGCCUGAGAGGGUGGACGGCAACAUUGGGACUGAGAGACGGAGCAGACGCCUAGGGGCGGCAGCAAUGGGGAAUAGGGGAAAAUGGGAGCAAGGCGGAAGCAGUGACGCCGCGUGGGUGAUGAAGGGCUGCGGGUAGUAAAGUACUUACGGCCAUGUAGCAGGGCUGGUGGUGACGGUAGUGGUAGAAGAAGCACCGGCUAACUACGUG
RNAcentral lists this ribosomal RNA (469 nucleotides) under uncultured bacterium. RNAcentral's name for it is "partial 16S ribosomal RNA". It matches the Rfam family "Bacterial small subunit ribosomal RNA", at positions 28 to 507 of the family's 1533-position model. The record is from RNAcentral.